UUGAUCCUGGCUCAGAAUCAACGCUGGCGGCGUGCCUAACACAUGCAAGUCGAACGCGAAAGUCCCGCAAGGGAUGAGUAGAGUGGCAAACGGGUGAGUUACACGUGGGUGACCUGCCUUCGAGCGGGGGAUAACGUCCCGAAAGGGACUCUAAUACCGCAUGACAUCCUGCCUUUGAAGAGGUGGAGAUCAAAGCUGGUGAUCGCAAGACCUAGCACUCGAAGAGGGGCCCGCGCCUGAUUAGCUAGUUGGUGGGGUAACGGCUCACCAAGGCAACGAUCAGUAGCCGGCCUGAGAGGUCGGACGGCCACACUGGGACUGAGACACGGCCCAGACUCCUACGGGAGGCUGCAGUGGGGAAUUGUUCGCAAUGGGCGCAAGCCUGACGACGCAACGCCGUGUGGAGGACGAAGACCUUCGGGUCGUAAACUCCUUUCGAUCGAGACGAAUGGUCUCCGGGUGAACAAUCCGGAGGAGUGACGGUACCGAGAGAAGAAGCUCCGGCUAACUCCGUGCCAGCAGCCGCGGUAAUAAGGU
RNAcentral lists this ribosomal RNA (537 nucleotides) under uncultured Acidobacteriota bacterium. Its description in RNAcentral is "bacterial SSU rRNA". It matches the Rfam family "Bacterial small subunit ribosomal RNA", at positions 13 to 529 of the family's 1533-position model. The record is from RNAcentral. Lineage: Bacteria; Pseudomonadati; Acidobacteriota.